This 518-nucleotide ribosomal RNA is filed under the name uncultured bacterium. RNAcentral describes it as "bacterial SSU rRNA". It matches the Rfam family "Bacterial small subunit ribosomal RNA", at positions 8 to 502 of the family's 1533-position model. The record is from RNAcentral.
AGAGUUUGAUCCUGGCUCAGAACGAACGCUGGCGGCGUGCUUAACACAUGCAAGUCGAACGAGAAAAGGUCCUUCGGGGCCUGAGUAAAGUGGCGGACGGGUGAGUAAUGCAUGGAUGACCUGCCCUUGAGUGGGGGAUAACUACGGGAAACCGUGGCUAAUACCGCAUGAUGAUGUGCUGCUCUCGAGCGGCAUUUUCAAAGCUGGCCUCUACAUGUAAGCUGGCGCUUGAGGAGGGGUCCAUGUCCCAUUAGCUUGUUGGUGAGGUAACGGCUCACCAAGGCAUCGAUCGGUAGCCGGCCUGAGAGGGUGAUCGGCCACAUUGGGACUGAGACACGGCCCAGACUCCUACGGGAGGCAGCAGUGGGGAAUUUUGGGCAAUGGGGGAAACCCUGACCCAGCGACGCCGCGUGGGGGAUGAAGGUCUUCGGAUUGUAAACCCCUGUCAGGUGGGAAGAAGGAUGAAUCGGUUAAUACCCGGUACAUUUUGACGUACCACCAAAGAAGCCCCGCUAACU